UUAGUCGAAACCAAAAGUGAGGUAUAUCAUUGUUAAUGAUAAAAUUGAAUAUUUAUUUCCGUCUAAG
This 67-nucleotide transfer RNA is filed under the name Rugitermes flavicinctus. RNAcentral describes it as "tRNA-Asn". Lineage: Eukaryota; Metazoa; Arthropoda; Insecta; Blattodea; Kalotermitidae. The record is from RNAcentral. RNAcentral also lists the same sequence under 1 other name.